AGCGAACGCUGGCGGCAGGCCUAACACAUGCAAGUCGAACGGAUCCUUCGGGAUUAGUGGCGGACGGGUGAGUAACACGUGGGAACGUGCCUUUUUGGUUCGGAACAACUCAGGGAAACUUGAGCUAAUACCGAAUGUGCCCUUCGGGGAAGGAUUUAUCGCCAUUAGAGCGGCCCGCGUCUGAUUAGCUAGUUGGUGAGGUAAAGGCUCACCAAGGCUACGAUCAGUAGCUGGUCUGAGAGGAUGAUCAGCCACAUUGGGACUGAGACACGGCCCAAACUCCUACGGGAGGCAGCAGUGGGGAAUCUUGCGCAAUGGGCGAAAGCCUGACGCAGCCAUGCCGCGUGAAUGAUGAAGGUCUUAGGAUUGUAAAUUCUUUCACCGGGGACGAUAAUGACGGUACCCGGAGAAGAAGCCCCCGGCUAACUUCGUGCCAGCCG
Molecule: ribosomal RNA, 440 nt
Filed under: uncultured bacterium
Lineage: Bacteria
Description: bacterial SSU rRNA
Rfam family: Bacterial small subunit ribosomal RNA
Source: RNAcentral